GGAAUCUCCAAUCGCUACAUGUAUGUAAUUUUAAAAUUAGCAGUCUGUUAAGGUAUUUGUGACAUAAUAAUGAGACUUAAUCGAAUUGACCCCCCCCCCCCCCAGGUGAACAACAUCCAUGCGCUGCUGAUCCAUGUAACGAAGGAAACCUAUGUAUUGAGGAAUGUGUACCCAAUGGAUUUACUUGUGAGUGCCCAGAAGGAUUAAUGGGCACUUAUUGUGAUGCUCUGGCUCCUGUAAAUGGCGGGUUUACACCAUGGGGUGAUUACUCCGAGUGUUCUGACACGUGUCAUCAGACUAGA
Long non-coding RNA from Lytechinus variegatus (green sea urchin), 302 nucleotides. RefSeq lists it as uncharacterized. The record is from RefSeq and is a predicted model, not a curated record. The transcript is spliced from 2 exons. Lineage: Eukaryota; Metazoa; Echinodermata; Echinoidea; Temnopleuroida; Toxopneustidae.